Molecule: ribosomal RNA, 468 nt
Filed under: uncultured bacterium
Lineage: Bacteria
Description: partial 16S ribosomal RNA
Rfam family: Bacterial small subunit ribosomal RNA
Source: RNAcentral
GACGAACGCUGGCGGCGCGCCUAACACAUGCAAGUCGAACGGAGCUGAGAGAAGCUUGCUUUUCUUAGCUUAGUGGCGCACGGGUGAGUAACGCGUGAGUAACCUGCCCUGGAGUGGGGGACAACAGUUGGAAACGACUGCUAAUACCGCAUAAGCCCACGAUCCGGCAUCGGAUUGAGGGAAAAGGAUUUAUUCGCUUCAGGAUGGACUCGCGUCCAAUUGGCUAGUUGGUGAGGUAACGGCCCACCAAGGCGACGAUUGGUAGCCGGACUGAGAGGUUGAACGGCCACAUUGGGACUGAGACACGGCCCAGACUCCUACGGGAGGCAGCAGUGGGGGAUAUUGCACGAUGGAGGAAACCCUGAUGCAGCGACGCCGCGUGGAGGAAGAAGGUUUUCGGAUUGUAAACUCCUGUCGUUAGGGACGAUAAUGACGGUACCUAACAAGAAAGCACCGGCUAACUACGUG